UGUUCGACGGAACCUGUUCGACGAGGGCCCGAUGACGCAACCUGCAGGCGACCCUUCGAGAUCCUCUCUAGGUCGAUUCAUUUCGAGGCGACGAGGAAACUCCUAAAAGAGUGAUCGAAGCUGGUGCAAAGGAGCAGUGACCGAUUUCGCAGUGGGGGACAGUGAGACGCGAGAAAGUUCAGUGACCAUAAGGGAUAUUAGUGCCAACCCUGACGAGGAACGAAAGUGCUACCGUCCCGUGGCUAUCGGAUUGCUCGUGUACGAAAAUAGUCGUGAAUAUCGGCCCUGAGAUCGUGCCUGAACAAACCGGAGUGACAUCUUCGUGGCGCUCGCGAAACGCCCUCGAGGUGAACGUUCCCUGGAUGCUCGUUAAGAGCCACGGGGACUCGAGCUCAGGUUCCGUUGGAAACGACCCCAAAACGGACGCUGCGCGGCGAAGAUACUCCUGUUCCCUCGAGGACGAGCCCGUUCGGUGGCCGUCCGUCUUUCCGAAAUACCUACAGUCCGCUGUUGGAUAUUUUCGUCGGCCCAUUACG
This is a long non-coding RNA of Hylaeus volcanicus, 536 nucleotides long. RefSeq lists it as uncharacterized. Lineage: Eukaryota; Metazoa; Arthropoda; Insecta; Hymenoptera; Colletidae. The record is from RefSeq and is a predicted model, not a curated record. The transcript has 2 exons.